This 436-nucleotide long non-coding RNA is filed under the name Medicago truncatula (barrel medic). RNAcentral's name for it is "long non-coding RNA (MTRU_LNC002035)". The record is from RNAcentral. Lineage: Eukaryota; Viridiplantae; Streptophyta; Magnoliopsida; Fabales; Fabaceae.
GGUGGUGGAAGUGCCUUUGGAACCGGUGGAGGUUUGUAUACUGGAACAGGUGGUAAAACUGGAUGUUCAACCUUUGGUGGUGGACAUGGUUUCUUGACCGGAACCGGUGGUGGUUGUGGCUUUGGAACUGGAGGAGGUUUGUAUACUGGAGCAGGUGGUAGAACUGGAUGUUCAACCUUUGGUGGUGGACAUGGUUUCUUGACUGGAACAGGAGGAGGAAGAGGUUUAUGAUAUACAGGCGUAGGUGGAGGGAGAGGUUUAUGAUAAACAGGCACAGGUGGAGGAAGAGGUUUCUCAUACACAGGUGUAGGUGGAGGGAGAGGUUUAUGGUAAACAGGCACAGGCGGAGGAAGAGGUUUCUCGUAGACAGGUGUAGGUGGAGGAAGAGGUUUCUCAUAAACAGGUGUAGGAGGAGGGAUAGGUUUUUCAUAGAUAG